AUCAGCAAUUGCAGCUAAAUACAUCAAAUUCUUCUGAAGUUGAGCUUGGUACUGAGCACAUUCAGCUAGUUUCCCCAGAUUUUGGUUGUCCAGUAUGGCCAAUAUCAACUUUUUGUUCUCAUCAAGAUACUUUUGAAUCUGCUCGGUGGUGAUAUUGGUGGGGGGAAAUGAAGGCAUCAUGGGCAACAUUUGCGGUGGUUGCUGCAUCUUUGGCUUUCCUAAAUAUAAACCUUAGCCCUACCUCUUGGGAUCUGAAAAACAAGCAGCAGCCGCGCGAUCUCACCAACGGCGUGGGUUAGAGGCUGAACCACUGUGUUUGUGACAAAAAUAAAACCGAGAUAACUCUGAUUGCUCGGAGUGGAGAGAGUGAGGGAGGGAGGGAGCGGCUGCGAUUCUGUCGGAAGCCUGGGACUGCGGCAGCUAUAGAGACGGCGGGCGGCGAACGGCGGGGCUGAUAAUGGGAGGAAGGGGGUGGCUGAACGUGAAAUAGGGUUUAGAAAAAAGGAAAGUCGUGAUG
This 517-nucleotide unclassified non-coding RNA is filed under the name Hevea brasiliensis (rubber tree). Lineage: Eukaryota; Viridiplantae; Streptophyta; Magnoliopsida; Malpighiales; Euphorbiaceae. The record is from RNAcentral.